RNAcentral lists this non-coding RNA (26 nucleotides) under Rattus norvegicus (Norway rat). Lineage: Eukaryota; Metazoa; Chordata; Mammalia; Rodentia; Muridae. The record is from RNAcentral.
UUCCAGGCCAUGACAUGAGGUUUGGG